GCUGGNNCCUUAGGGGUCCGCAUNGUAAUUUGCNGNNGGANGCUUCGGGNNGUGGCCCCCAUCUAAGUGCCCUGGAACGGGCCGUCAUAGAGGGUGAGAAUCCCGUCUGGGAUGGGGUGUCCACGCCCGUGUGAAGCUCCUUCGACGAGUCGAGUUGUUUGGGAAUGCAGCUCUAAAUGGGUGGUAAAUUUCAUCUAAAGCUAAAUACUGGCCGGAGACCGAUAGCGCACAAGUAGAGUGAUCGAAAGAUGAAAAGCACUUUGAAAAGAGAGUUAAACAGCACGUGAAAUUGUUGAAAGGGAAGCGCUUGCGACCAGACUCGCCCACGGGGUUCAGCCGGCAUUCGUGCCGGUGUACUUCCCCGCGGGCGGGCCAGCGUCGGUUUGGGCGGCCGGUCAAAGGCCCUCGGAAUGUAACGCCCCCCGGGGCGUCUUAUAGCCGANGGUGCCAUGCGGCCAGCCCGGACCGAGGAACGCGCUUCGGCUCGGACGCUGGCAUAAUGGUCGUAAGCGACCCGUC
RNAcentral lists this ribosomal RNA (519 nucleotides) under soil fungal sp. DM001. Its description in RNAcentral is "eukaryotic LSU rRNA". It matches the Rfam family "Eukaryotic large subunit ribosomal RNA", at positions 121 to 653 of the family's 3401-position model. The record is from RNAcentral. Lineage: Eukaryota; Fungi.